RNAcentral lists this ribosomal RNA (599 nucleotides) under Chryseobacterium sp. RNAcentral's name for it is "bacterial SSU rRNA". It matches the Rfam family "Bacterial small subunit ribosomal RNA", at positions 77 to 676 of the family's 1533-position model. The record is from RNAcentral. Lineage: Bacteria; Pseudomonadati; Bacteroidota; Flavobacteriia; Flavobacteriales; Weeksellaceae.
UCUUCGGAUCUUUGAGAGCGGCGCACGGGUGCGGAACACGUGUGCAACCUACCUUUAUCAGGGGGAUAGCCUUUCGAAAGGAAGAUUAAUACCCCAUAAUAUAUUUGAUGGCAUCAUUAGAUAUUGAAAACUCCGGUGGAUAGAGAUGGGCACGCGCAGGAUUAGAUAGUUGGUAGGGUAACGGCCUACCAAGUCAACGAUCCUUAGGGGGCCUGAGAGGGUGAUCCCCCACACUGGUACUGAGACACGGACCAGACUCCUACGGGAGGCAGCAGUGAGGAAUAUUGGACAAUGGGUGAGAGCCUGAUCCAGCCAUCCCGCGUGAAGGACGACGGCCCUAUGGGUUGUAAACUUCUUUUGUAUAGGGAUAAACCUACUCUCGUGAGAGUAGCUGAAGGUACUAUACGAAUAAGCACCGGCUAACUCCGUGCCAGCAGCCGCGGUAAUACGGAGGGUGCAAGCGUUAUCCGGAUUUAUUGGGUUUAAAGGGUCCGUAGGCUGAUUUGUAAGUCAGUGGUGAAAUCUCACAGCUUAACUGUGAAACUGCCAUUGAUACUGCAAGUCUUGAGUGUUGUUGAAGUAGCUGGAAUAAAUAGUGU